CAAAGAUUUAUCGCUCGAAGAUGGGCUCGCGUCCGAUUAGGUAGUUGGUGAGGUAACGGCCCACCAAGCCGACGAUCGGUAGCCGGACUGAGAGGUUGAACGGCCACAUUGGGACUGAGACACGGCCCAGACUCCUACGGGAGGCAGCAGUGGGGGAUAUUGCACAAUGGGGGAAACCCUGAUGCAGCGACGCCGCGUGUGGGAAGACGGUCUUCGGAUUGUAAACCACUGUCCCCAGGGACGAAAAUGACGGUACCUGGGGAGGAAGCUCCGGCUAACUACGUGCCAGCAGCCGCGGUAAUACGUAGGGAGCAAGCGUUGUCCGGAAUUACUGGGUGUAAAGGGAGCGUAGGCGGGGAUGCAAGUUGGGUGUCAAAACUACCGGCUCAACCGAUAGUCGCACUCAAAACUGCAGCUCUUGAGUGAAGUAGAGGCAGGCGGAAUUCCUAGUGUAGCGGUGAAAUGCGUAGAUAUUAGGAGGAACACCAGUGGUGAAGGCGGCCUGCUGGGCUUUUACUGACGCUGAGGCUCGAAAGUGUGGGGAGCAAACAGGAUUAGAUACCCUGGUAGUCCACACCGUAAACGAUGAUUACUAGGUGUGGGGGGUCUGACCCCCUCC
This 619-nucleotide ribosomal RNA is filed under the name uncultured bacterium. RNAcentral describes it as "bacterial SSU rRNA". It matches the Rfam family "Bacterial small subunit ribosomal RNA", at positions 202 to 842 of the family's 1533-position model. The record is from RNAcentral.